UCCAGUAGAGGGACAACUCGAGAACUCGAGCUAUACGCAUACGCCUAAGGGAAGCGGGGAUCUUCGGACCUCGCGCCUAUUGGAUGAGCCUGCGUCGGAUUAGCUAGUUGGUGGGGUAAAGGCCCACCAAGGCGACGAUCCGUAGCUGGUCUGAGAGGAUGAUCAGCCACACUGGGACUGAGACACGGCCCAGACUCCUACGGGAGGCAGCAGUGGGGAAUAUUGCGCAAUGGGGGAAACCCUGANNCAGCCAUGCCGCGUGUGUGAAGAAGGCCUUAGGGUUGUAAAGCACUUUCAAUGGGGAGAAAAGUCUUACGGUUAAUAACUGUGAG
Molecule: ribosomal RNA, 332 nt
Filed under: uncultured Gammaproteobacteria bacterium
Lineage: Bacteria; Pseudomonadati; Pseudomonadota; Gammaproteobacteria
Description: bacterial SSU rRNA
Rfam family: Bacterial small subunit ribosomal RNA
Source: RNAcentral